This 148-nucleotide unclassified non-coding RNA is filed under the name soil metagenome. RNAcentral's name for it is "partial internal transcribed spacer 1". The record is from RNAcentral.
UAAUAAGUGUUUUAUGGCACUUUUUUUAAAUCCAUAUCCACCUUGUGUGCAAUGUCAGUCGAUCUUCUCAUGGAGAUCGACCAAACAGUCAACCUUUAUCUUUUAACUCUUUGUCUGAAAAACUAUUAUGAAUAAACAAUUCAAAAUA